Molecule: small RNA, 28 nt
Filed under: Bombyx mori (domestic silkworm)
Lineage: Eukaryota; Metazoa; Arthropoda; Insecta; Lepidoptera; Bombycidae
Description: ovarian small RNA-28431
Source: RNAcentral
UCGAUAGAAGUGCCCUAUGCCAGACCCU